RNAcentral lists this ribosomal RNA (592 nucleotides) under Plectidae sp. NK-2011a. RNAcentral describes it as "SSU rRNA". It matches the Rfam family "Eukaryotic small subunit ribosomal RNA", at positions 1024 to 1643 of the family's 1831-position model. The record is from RNAcentral. Lineage: Eukaryota; Metazoa; Nematoda; Chromadorea; Plectida; Plectidae.
UUCUGACCGUAAACGAUGCCAACUAGCGAUCCGCCGGUGGUAAUUACGCCCCGGCGGGGAGCUUCCCGGAAACGAAAGUCUUCCGGUUCCGGGGGAAGUAUGGUUGCAAAGCUGAAACUUAAAGGAAUUGACGGAAGGGCACCACCAGGAGUGGAGCUUGCGGCUUAAUUUGACUCAACACGGGGAAACUCACCCGGCCCGGACACCGUAAGGAUUGACAGAUUGAGAGCUCUUUCUUGAUUCGGUGGUUGGUGGUGCAUGGCCGUUCUUAGUUGGUGGAGCGAUUUGUCUGGUUUAUUCCGAUAACGAACGAGACUCUGGCCUACUAACUAGUGACAGGAUUAUUGCUGUCCUGGUUACUUCUUAGAGGGACAAGUGGUGUUCAGCCACACGAAAUUGAGCAAUAACAGGUCUGUGAUGCCCUUAGAUGUCCGGGGCUGCACGCGUGCUACACUGGAGGAAACAGCAUGCAAAACCAUUGCCGAGAGGCAUUGGUAAACCCGAGAAAAUCUUCCGUGAUCGGGAUCGGGAAUUGCAAUUAUUUCCCUUGAACGAGGAAUUCCCAGUAAGUGUGGGUCAUCAGCUCGCGUUG